AUUCCAGCUCCAAUAGCGUAUAUUAAAGUUGUUGCGGUUAAAAAGCUCGUAGUUGGAUUUCUGCCGAGGAUGACCGGUCCGCCCUGUGGGUGUGCAUCUGGCUCAGCCUUGGCAUCUUCCUGAAGAACGUAGCUGCACUUGACUGUGUGGUGCGGUAUUUAGGACAUUUACUUUGAGGAAAUUAGAGUGUUUCAAGCAAGCGCACGCUUUGAAUACAUUAGCAUGGAAUAAUAAGAUAGGACCUCGGUUCUAUUUCGUUGGUUUCUAGGACCGAAGUAAUGAUUAAUAGGGACAGUUGGGGGCAUUCACAUUCCAUUGUCAGAGGUGAAAUUCUUGAAUUAACGGAAGAUGAACUUCUGCGAAAGCAUCUGCCAAGGAUGUUUUCAUCA
This 389-nucleotide ribosomal RNA is filed under the name Biecheleria sp. RNAcentral describes it as "partial small subunit ribosomal RNA". It matches the Rfam family "Eukaryotic small subunit ribosomal RNA", at positions 582 to 975 of the family's 1831-position model. Lineage: Eukaryota; Dinophyceae; Suessiales; Biecheleriaceae. The record is from RNAcentral.